Molecule: ribosomal RNA, 253 nt
Filed under: uncultured bacterium
Lineage: Bacteria
Description: partial 16S ribosomal RNA
Rfam family: Bacterial small subunit ribosomal RNA
Source: RNAcentral
UACAGAGGUCUCAAGCGUUGUCCGGAUUUAUUGGGCGUAAAGAGCUCGUAGGCGGCUUGUUGCGUCGACCGUGAAAACCCGUGGCUCAACUGCGGGCUUGCGGUCGAUACGGGCGGGCUAGAGUUCGGUAGGGGAGACUGGAAUUCCUGGUGUAGCGGUGAAAUGCGCAGAUAUCAGGAGGAACACCGGUGGCGAAGGCGGGUCUCUGGGCCGAUACUGACGCUGAGGAGCGAAAGCGUGGGGAGCGAACAGG